Molecule: unclassified non-coding RNA, 194 nt
Filed under: uncultured Ascomycota
Lineage: Eukaryota; Fungi; Ascomycota
Description: sequence contains ITS1
Source: RNAcentral
ACGAGUUAGGGUCUUCUAGGCCCGAUCUCCCAACCCAUUGUUUACCACACCGUUUGUUGCUUCGGCGAGCCCGUCUUUCACGGACCGCCGGGGGACCGUAACAGGUCUCCUGGCCCGCGCUCGCCGGUAGCCCCAACCUCAAAACUCUUAACUAAACAUGUCUUGACUAAGUACCAAUUUUUUAAUUAAAAGCA